RNAcentral lists this long non-coding RNA (8161 nucleotides) under Scleropages formosus (Asian bonytongue). RNAcentral's name for it is "lncRNA (ENSSFOG00015024861.1)". The record is from RNAcentral. Lineage: Eukaryota; Metazoa; Chordata; Actinopteri; Osteoglossiformes; Osteoglossidae.
ACACACAGCACAUGUAUGUGACAGGUACACAGGUGACUGUAUAUGCACAGACGGCAGUAAUAGGACAGCAGUAAGAAGACAAGUCAGAGGACAGCAGUAAAACCACUGCAGCUGAGAAGGUCCUGGAGAACCAUUAAGGGUCAUAUAAACAUCACAAUCACCUUGAAGCGACAGAAAUCUCAUCUUCUCAAAGCAAGAAGAACAUAAAACAUCCCAAAGGAAAGAGGUGACGAGAACUUCUUGCCACUAUGUGGACGGUGGGGAGAUUCGCACUCUUUCUUUUGACUGCCACAGCAAUAAAAGGCCAAAAUACAAACGAAACGACUACAACUCCAACGGCAACCGAAAACACAACCACUCCGACCACAACAGUGACAUCAGGUACUACAGAAAUGAUUACAAUGACAACGACAACCGAAAGCACAACCACGCCGACCACUACUGCGACGUCAACUACAACUGAAACGACUACUACUCCAACGACAACCGAAAGCACAACCACUCCGACCACUACUGCAACGUCAACUACUCCUGAAAUGACUACAACUCCCACAACAACCGAAACCACAAACACUCCAACCACGACCGCGACGUCAACCACUACUGAAACGACUACAACUCCCACAACAACCGAAAGCACAACCACUCCGACCACUACCUCUGCGUCAACUACUACUGAAAUGACUACACCUCCCUCGACAACUGAAACCACCACCACGCUGAGCACUGCCGCGAUAUCAACAGCUACUGCAACGACUACAACUCCCACGACAACCGAAAGCAUCACCACGCCGACCACUACCGCGACUUCAACUACUUCUGAAACGACGUCAACUCCCACGACAACCGAAACCACCACCACGCCGACCACUGCUGCGGUGUCACCCACUUCCGCGACGUCAACUAUUACUGAAAUGACUACAACUCCCAUGACAACCGAAAGCACAACCACGCCGACCACUACCGUGGCCUCAGCUACUACUGAAACGACCACCACGCUGACUACUGCUGCGGCGUCAACCACUUCCACGACGUCAACCACUACUGAAACGACAACUCCCAUGACAACUGAAAGCAUAACCACGCCAACCACUACUGCGACGUCAACUUCUACUGCAACUACUACAACUCCCACAACAAUCGAAAGCACAACCACCACGCCGACCACUGCCGCGGCGUCAACCACUUCCACGACGUCAACUACUACUGCAACGACUACAAUUCCCACGAGAACUGAAACCACCACCACGCCGACUACUGCCGCAGCGUCAACCACUUCUGCGACGUCAACUACUACAGCAAGGACAACAACUCCCACGAUAACCGAAAGCAUAACCACGCCAACCACUACUGCAACGUCAACUACAACUGAAACGACUACUACUCCAACGACAACCGAAAGCACAACCACUCCGACCACUACCGCAACGUCAACUACUCCUGAAAUGACUACAACUCCCACAACAACCGAAAGCACAACCACUCCGACCACUACCGCGACGUCAACCACUACUGAAAUGAUUACACCUCCCACGACAACCGAAACCACAAACACUCCAACCACGACCGCGACGUCAACCACUACUGAAACGACUACAACUCCCACAACAACCGAAAGCAUAACCACACCAACCACUACUGCAACGUCAACUUCUACUGAAACUACUACAACUCCCACGACAACCGGAACCACCACCACGCCGACCACUGCUGCGGCAUCACCCACUACCGCGACGUCAACUACUACAGCAACGACUACAACUCCCACAACAACCGAAAGCACAACCACUCCGACCACUACCUCUGCGUCAACCACUACUGAAACGACCACAACUCCCACAACAACCGAAAGCAUAACCACACCAACCACUACUGCAACGUCAACUUCUACUGAAACUACUACAACUCCCACGACAACCGGAACCACCACCACGCCGACCACUGCUGCGGCAUCACCCACUACCGCGAUGUCAACUACUACUGAAACGACAACAACUCCCACGACAAUCGGAACCACCACCACGCCGACCACUGCUGCGGCAUCACCCACUACCGCGACGUCAACUACUACAGCAACGACAACAACUCCCACGACAACCCAAAGCACAACAGCUCCGACCACUACCUCUGCGUCAACUACUACUGAAACGACAACAACUCCCACGACAACCGAAACCACCACCAUGCCGAACACUGCCGCGACGUCAACCACUACUGCAACGACUACAACUCCCACGACAACCGGAACCACCACCACGCCGACGACUGCCGCGGUGUCAACCACUUCUGCGACGUCAACUACUACAGCAACGACAACAACUCCCACGAUAACCGAAAGCAUAACCACGCCAACCACUACUGCGACGUCAACUACAACUGAAACGACUACUACUCCAACGACAACCGAAAGCACAACCACUCCGACCACUACCGCAACGUCAACUACUCCUGAAAUGACUACAACUCCCACGACAACCGAAACCACAAACACUCCAACCACGACCGCGACGUCAACCACUACUGAAACGACUACAACUCCCACAACAACCGAAAGCACAACCACUCCGACCACUACCUCUGCGUCAAUCACUACUGAAAUGACUACAACUCCCACGACAACCGGAACCACCACCAUGCCGAACACUGCCGCGACGUCAACCACUACUGCAACGACUACAACUCCCACGACAACCGGAACCACCACCAUGCCGACCACUGCCGCGACGUCAACCACUACUGAAACGACUACAACUCCCACAACAACCGAAAGCAUAACCACACCAACCACUACUGCAACGUCAACUUCUACUGAAACUACUACAACUCCCACGACAACCGGAACCACCACCACGCCGACCACUGCUGCGGCAUCACCCACUACCGGAACGUCAACGACUUCUGAAAUGACUACAACUCCCACGAGAACCGAAACCACCACCACGCCGACCACUGCUGCGGCAUCACCCACUACCGCAACGUCAACUACUAAAGCAACGACUACAACUCCCACAACAACCGAAAGCACAACCACUCCGACCACUACCUCUGCGUCAACCACUACUGAAACGACCACAACUCCCACAACAACCGAAAGCAUAACCACACCAACCACUACUGCAACGUCAACUUCUACUGAAACUACUACAACUCCCACGACAACCGGAACCACCACCACGCCGACCACUGCUGCGGCAUCACCCACUACCGCGAUGUCAACUACUACUGAAACGACAACAACUCCCACGACAACCGGAACCACCACCACGCCGACCACUGCUGCGGCAUCACCCACUACCGCGACGUCAACUACUACAGCAACGACAACAACUCCCACGACAACCCAAAGCACAACAGCUCCGACCACUACCUCUGCGUCAACUACUACUGAAACGACAACAACUCCCACGACAACCGAAACCACCACCAUGCCGAACACUGCCGCGACGUCAACCACUACUGCAACGACUACAACUCCCACGACAACCGGAACCACCACCAUGCCGACCACUGCCGCGACGUCAACCACUACUGAAACAACCACAACUCCCACAACAACCGAAAGCAUAACCACACCAACCACUACUGCAACGUCAACUUCUACUGAAACGACCACAACUCCCACAACAACCGAAAGCAUAACCACUCCGACCACUACCUCUGCGUCAACCACUACUGAAACGACCACAACUCCCAGAACAACCGAAAGCAUAACCACACCAACCACUACCGCGACGUCAACUUCUACUGAAACUACUACAACUCCCACGACAACCGGAACCACCACCACGCCGACGACUGCCGCGGUGUCAACCACUUCUGCGACGUCAACUACUACAGCAACGACAACAACUCCCACGAUAACCGAAAGCAUAACCACGCCAACCACUACUGCGACGUCAACUACAACUGAAACGACUACUACUCCAACGACAACCGAAAGCACAACCACUCCGACCACUACCGCAACGUCAACUACACCUGAAAUGACUACAACUCCCACGACAACCGAAACCACAAACACUCCAACCACGACCGCGACGUCAACCACUACUGAAACGACUACAACUCCCACAACAACCGAAAGCACAACCACUCCGACCACUACCUCUGCGUCAACCACUACUGAAAUGACUACAACUCCCACGACAACCGGAACCACCACCAUGCCGAACACUGCCGCGACGUCAACCACUACUGCAACGACUACAAAGCCCACGACAACCGGAACCACCACCAUGCCGACCACUGCCGCGACGUCAACCACUACUGAAACAACCACAACUCCCACAACAACCGAAAGCAUAACCACACCAACCACUACUGCAACGUCAACUUCUACUGAAACUACUACAACUCCCACGACAACCGGAACCACAACCACGCCGACCACUGCUGCGGCAUCACCCACUACCGGAACGUCAACGACUACUGAAAUGACAACAACUCCCACGACAAUCGAAACCACAACCACCACGCCGACCACUGCCGCGGCGUCAACCACUUCCACGAUGUCAACUACUACUGCAACGACUACAACUCCCACGACAACCCAAAGCACAACAGCUCCAACCACUACCGCGACGUCAACUACUACAGCAACGACAACAACUCCCACGACAACCGAAACCACCACCAUGCCGACCACUGCCGCGACGUCAACCACUACUGAAACGACCACAACUCCCAUGACAACCGAAACCACCACCACGGCGACGACUGCCGCGAUGUCAACAGCUACAGCAACGACAACAACUCAAACAACAACCGAAAGCAUAACCACACCAACCACUACCGCGACGUCAACUUCUACUGCAACUACUACAACUCCCACGACAAUCGAAACCACAACCACCACGCCGACCACUGCCGCGGCGUCAACCACUUCCACGACGUCAACUACUACAGCAACGACAACAACUCCCACGACAACCCAAAGCACAACAGCUCCGACCACUACCGCGACGUCAACUACGACUGCAACGACUAAAACUCCCACGACAAUCGAAACCACCACCACCACGCCGACUACUGCCGUGGCGUCAACCACUUCUGCGACGUCAACUACUACAGCAACGACUACAACUCCCAUGACAACCGAAACCACCACCAUGCCGACCACUACCGCGACGUCAACCACUACUGAAAUGACCACAACUCCCUUGACAACCGAAACCACCACCACGGCGACCACUGCCGCGAUGUCAACAGCUACAGCAAUGACCACAACUCCCACAACAACCGAAAGCAUAACCACACCAACCACUACUGCAACGUCAACUUCUACUGAAACUACUACAACUCCCACGACAACCGGAACCACCACCACGCCGACCACUGCUGCGGCAUCACCCACUACCGCGAUGUCAACUACUACUGAAACGACAACAACUCCCACGACAAUCGGAACCACCACCACGCCGACCACUGCUGCGGCAUCACCCACUACCGCGACGUCAACUACUACAGCAACGACAACAACUCCCACGACAACCCAAAGCACAACAGCUCCGACCACUACCUCUGCGUCAACUACUACUGAAACGACAACAACUCCCACGACAACCGAAACCACCACCAUGCCGAACACUGCCGCGACGUCAACCACUACUGCAACGACUACAACUCCCACGACAACCGGAACCACCACCAUGCCGACCACUGCCGCGACGUCAACCACUACUGAAACAACCACAACUCCCACAACAACCGAAAGCAUAACCACACCAACCACUACUGCAACGUCAACUUCUACUGAAACGACCACAACUCCCACAACAACCGAAAGCAUAACCACUCCGACCACUACCUCUGCGUCAACCACUACUGAAACGACCACAACUCCCAGAACAACCGAAAGCAUAACCACACCAACCACUACCGCGACGUCAACUUCUACUGAAACUACUACAACUCCCACGACAACCGGAACCACCACCACGCCGACGACUGCCGCGGUGUCAACCACUUCUGCGACGUCAACUACUACAGCAACGACAACAACUCCCACGAUAACCGAAAGCAUAACCACGCCAACCACUACUGCGACGUCAACUACAACUGAAACGACUACUACUCCAACGACAGCCGAAAGCACAACCACUCCGACCACUACCGCAACGUCAACUACUCCUGAAAUGACUACAACUCCCACGACAACCGAAACCACAAACACUCCAACCACGACCGCGACGUCAACCACUACUGAAACGACUACAACUCCCACAACAACCGAAAGCACAACCACUCCGACCACUACCUCUGCGUCAACCACUACUGAAAUGACUACAACUCCCACGACAACCGGAACCACCACCAUGCCGAACACUGCCGCGACGUCAACCACUACUGCAACGACUACAAAGCCCACGACAACCGGAACCACCACCAUGCCGACCACUGCCGCGACGUCAACCACUACUGAAACAACCACAACUCCCACAACAACCGAAAGCAUAACCACACCAACCACUACUGCAACGUCAACUUCUACUGAAACUACUACAACUCCCACGACAACCGGAACCACAACCACGCCGACCACUGCUGCGGCAUCACCCACUACCGGAACGUCAACGACUACUGAAAUGACAACAACUCCCACGACAGUCGAAACCACAACCACCACGCCGACCACUGCCGCGGCGUCAACCACUUCCACGAUGUCAACUACUACUGCAACGACUACAACUCCCACGACAACCCAAAGCACAACAGCUCCAACCACUACCGCGACGUCAACUACUACAGCAACGACAACAACUCCUACGACAACCGAAACCACCACCAUGCCGACCACUGCCGCGACGUCAACCACUACUGAAACGACCACAACUCCCAUGACAACCGAAACCACCACCACGGCGACGACUGCCGCGAUGUCAACAGCUACAGCAACGACAACAACUCAAACAACAACCGAAAGCAUAACCACGCCAACCACUACUGCGACGUCAACUUCUACUGCAACUACUACAACUCCCACGACAAUCGAAACCACAACCACCACGCCGACCACUGCCGCGGCGUCAACCACUUCCACGACGUCAACUACUACAGCAACGACAACAACUCCCACGACAACCCAAAGCACAACAGCUCCGACCACUACCGCGACGUCAACUACGACUGCAACGACUAAAACUCCCACGACAAUCGAAACCACCACCACCACGCCGACUACUGCCGUGGCGUCAACCACUUCUGCGACGUCAACUACUACAGCAACGACUACAACUCCCAUGACAACCGAAACCACCACCAUGCCGACCACUACCGCGACGUCAACCACUACUGAAAUGACCACAACUCCCUUGACAACCGAAACCACCACCACGUCAACCACUACUGAAAUGACCACAACUCCCUUGACAACCGAAACCACCACCACGGCGACCACUGCCGCGAUGUCAACAGCUACAGCAACGACCACAACUCCCACAACAACCGAAAGCAUAACCACGCCAACCACUACUGCGACGUCAACUUCUACUGCAACUACUACAACUCCCACGACAACCGGAACCACCACCACGCCGACCACUGCUGCGGCAUCACCCACUACCGCGACGUCAACUACUACUGCAACGACUACAACUCCCACGACAACCGAAACAACCACCACCCUGACAAGUACAACGAUGUCAACUACUACUGAAACGACAACCACUCCCACGACAACCGGAACCACCACCAUGCCGAACACUGCCGCGACGUCAACCACUACUGCAACGACUACAACUCCUACGACAACCGGAACCACCACCAUGCCGACCAGUGCCGCGACGUCAACCACUACUGAAAUGACAAAUCCCACGACAACCCAAAGCACAACAGCUCCAACCACUACCGCGACGUCAACUACUACAGCAACGACAACAACUCCCAUGACAACCGAAACCACCACCAUACCGACCACUGCCGCGACGUCAACCACUACUGCAACGACUACAACUCCUACGACAACCGGAACCACCACCAUGCCGACCAGUGCCGCGACGUCAACCACUACUGAAAUGACAACUCCCACGACAACUGAAAGCACAACCACGCCGACCACUGCCGCGACUUCAACUACUACUGCAACGACAACAACUCCCAUGACAACCGAAACCACCACCAUGCCGACCACUGCCGCGAUGUCAACAGCUACAGCAACGACAAC